CAGAGAACAAGAGGAAGCAGAUUCCAGAAGCAGCAGCUGAGAUCCACUUCUAGAGGCUGCCCGCAUUCUUUGGCUCAUGGCCCUCUUCCAUCUUCGCAGGAGUAAUAGUGAGUCCUUCUCAGAUCACCUCACUCUGACUCUCCCGCCUCCCUCUUCCAUUUCUAAAAACACUUCUGACGGCAUGAGGCCCACCUGGACAAUGUAGGAUGAUCUCCACAUCUCAAGAGUCUUGCUCUGUCGCCCAGGCUGGAGUGCACUGGCAAUGAUG
RNAcentral lists this long non-coding RNA (268 nucleotides) under Homo sapiens (human). Its description in RNAcentral is "HSALNT0339317". Lineage: Eukaryota; Metazoa; Chordata; Mammalia; Primates; Hominidae. The record is from RNAcentral.